AGAAUAUCAGCAUAGUCCUUGGCAGUGUAGACCCCAAUCCGCUGGGCAACAGUGGAGUAGUGUUCAAAAAGAUUAUCAUCCUGCCCAUCAUACAUCAAGUGGGCUGGCAUUGAGAUUUUUUUCCUCAUCAUGUCAGCUAAAGCCAAGACAGUGCCAUCUGGGUCAACCUCAAAGAGCUUCUCUACAAUCUUAGUGUAGGCAGUUUCAUG
This 209-nucleotide unclassified non-coding RNA is filed under the name Hevea brasiliensis (rubber tree). The record is from RNAcentral. Lineage: Eukaryota; Viridiplantae; Streptophyta; Magnoliopsida; Malpighiales; Euphorbiaceae.